Molecule: ribosomal RNA, 371 nt
Filed under: uncultured bacterium
Lineage: Bacteria
Description: bacterial SSU rRNA
Rfam family: Bacterial small subunit ribosomal RNA
Source: RNAcentral
GUAGGCAGCGAGCGUUGUUCGGAGUUACUGGGCGUAAAGAGUGCGUAGGCGGUUUUCUAAGUUUGGUGUGAAAUCUCCCGGCUUAACUGGGAGGGUGCGCCGAAGACUGGAAGGCUUGAGUAUGGGAGAGGUAAGCGGAAUUCCUGGUGUAGCGGUGAAAUGCGUAGAUAUCAGGAGGAACACCUGCGGUGUAGACGGCUUACUGGACCAUCACUGACGCUGAGGCACGAAAGCGUGGGUAGCAAACAGGAUUAGAUACCCUGGUAGUCCACGCCCUAAACGAUGCAUACUUGGUGUGGGUAGUUCAUUCUAUCCGUGCCGGAGCUAACGCGUUAAGUAUGCCGCCUGGGGAGUACGGUCGCAAGGCUGAA